GCGUGGAGCAUGGGCGUAGCGAAGAAGGGCAGGACCAAGCAGCCCAGGGGGAGGCUGCUGCAAUAACCCCUUAAGAGAUCACACGCUCUGCUCUUAGAUGGAGGCGACGAGCUCGUCCUUCACUCUAGGAAAACGAAAACAUGAAACAAGAAUACUCCAUUUGCUAAAAUGAUCACAAUAAUGUUAAAACAGUUAAUUCUUGUUAUUCAUGCUGAGUUAUGCUCUAUAAAGUCUCCGUGAACACAAAUGAGCACUGGAUUAGCAGGUACUGGAUUAGUGGAUACUGGAUUAAUGAGUACUGGGUUAGCAGGUACUGGAUUAGCAAGUAUUGGAUUAGCAGGUACUGGAUUAGCAAGUACUGGAUUAGCAGGUACUGGAUUAGCAGGUACUGGAUUAGCAAAUAUUGGAUCAGCAGCUACUGGAUUAGCAGGUUCUGGAUUAGUGGAUACUGGAUUAAUGAGUACUGGAUUAGUGGGUACUAGAUUAGCAAGUACGGGAUUAGCGAGUACUGGAUUAUGGAGUACUGAAGCCUUGCCCAAGGGGAAUCACAGGGUUAGGUUCCCGUGUGCCUCUGCUCACAACAUUUUCAUUAGCUGAUCAAUACAUAACCUUGUUUUAUGUCUGUUUCUGUUUACAGACACUUUAU
RNAcentral lists this long non-coding RNA (646 nucleotides) under Equus caballus (horse). Its description in RNAcentral is "lncRNA (ENSECAG00000051345.1)". The record is from RNAcentral. Lineage: Eukaryota; Metazoa; Chordata; Mammalia; Perissodactyla; Equidae.